CCCCUCUGAAAAAUUUGGAACAUUCCACAAGACACAUUUUCAACAGGAAGUUGCAUCAUCUGGCUCUUCUGAAGACAAUGGGAAGACCAAAAGCAAUAUAAUCAAGGGCAGAGAAGAAGCUGAAAAACAAGAAAGAACUAAAGGUUCUGUUGAAAAAAGUAUCCAAAAAAGCACAAAAGUACAAGAAAAAACUCCAGCACAUUAAAAAGAAAAAUGCAUCUCCAGGCACAAAAGUAAACGAACAGCUGAGACAGCUUCCAAGUGUGGCCGCUCAGAAGUCCCUUUUGUUUCAUGAAGCUCUGGUGGAGGGCAUCCGAAACAAAUACAAAAAUGCAGAGGGGGAGAGGGAAAAGCAAAUCAUUUCAAAAGUGAUAACAGGAAAAGUACAAAUGCAAUGCUUUGCUCAAAAUUCAUUGGGCUUUUCAAUUAAAAGAUGCAAAAAUGAGAAGAAUAUAAAGGUUAACUACACCUACUAAAGGAAGCAGAACAACAGGGUUGCAGAUGGUCUGAUACGCAGAGUGGGGGUUUUUACUCAAUGGAUGACGUGAGUCGCAUCAGAACUGGGAAGAGGCAAUCAGAAGAAUAACAAAAAGCAAAAACGGUUCCUUUUGGAUACCAUGAAAAAUUUGCACAGGAAGUUUUUGGCUGAAGAACAAAGCUCCAUCUCUUACUCACUCUUCUGUAAGCUCAGACCUUUUUGGAUUGUUCAUCCGACCCGGAGUGAUCAGGACACGUGCAUGUGCAGGAUGCUUGAGAAUCUGGGUUUUCUUGUGUAAAAGCUACACUACUUCAUAGUAAUCAGUACCAUCAAUCUGGAUGACCUUUUGAAAGAGAUAUCAUGUGACACAGAAAAUAUGAAGUGUAUGUAUGGAGAAUGUUCGGAGUGCAAGGACCGUUCUUGCCCAGUCUCUACAGAGUACAAUCCAGAGAAUAAAGUGUCUUAUAUUCAGUGGGUAGUUGUGGAUAAGCAGCAUGACCCCAUUGGCAAAACCUCUAAAAUCACAAUUAAAAAAAAAGAGUUCCACACCACUCUAGAAGAAUUGCUGGAACAGCUAAACCUGCUGCUGCAUAGGUUUAAGAGACACACUUUUAACAUCAACAAUCAGUUUAUCCACUACAGGGCAUUGAGACAAAGCUUAAAAGCACAUGAAUGCUUAAUUUAUGUUGACUUUUCUGAAAACUACCUCUGCAAGUACAGCACAGAAAUACAGUCAGUCCACUCCGGAGCAUCACAUCAGCAGGCAACACUGCACACGUGUGUGCUUUAUGUGUAUGCAACCCCUCAAUUGAUGUGCUUCUGCACUGUCACUCUCAAGAAAAAAGGGCCCACCAGCAAUCUGGCAACACUUGUCACCAGUGCUAAUUUUUUCUUGAGUUGUACUGAGCUGCUCAGGCGAGGAUUCACUGCAGGGACGUGGAACUUUUUUGAGGCGAGCCACGGGAAGGGUGCCCCGGGAUGGUGUUGGAGGGGCCCUGAAGAGGAGGGCUGACAGUCUAGUCAGCCAAGGAAGAGACAUUCCUGAUGCUGAAGACCUGUUUGCUGUGUUGCAAGAGACAGACACAAAAAUCAAGUUGUUUAUUGUCAGCGAGGAAGCAGUUGAUAAAGCAGUUUCAGAGAUGCCCAAUGAUGAGCCACCAGUUCCGUCCAUUAUGAGGAUCCAUUAGGUAGUGUCCCUAGCCCAUGGAGAACUGACAUACAGGGACGUCAGCUGCUUGUGCACAACAACACAAACUCUGAACUGUGGGUGCUUUAAUGCAAAGCAUUUCAAGUUCAGCAACCAGCAGACAGCUCCCAUGGCUCCCAUAGUGACAGACGUUGUUGGUAAUGUCGUGAAGUUGUUGGCAAAUGGAGUGUGCUGAAGUACGAUGGUAAUCUGUACCCUGGUGUCAUCACAGAUACAAGUGAAACACAUGUUGAAGUCCGUUGUAUGCAAAAGAUUGGGGUCAACAGGUUUGUCUGGCCAGCCCGCAAAGAUAUUCUUUGGUCCUUGUUUGAGGACAUUGUGUGUAUCAUCACACUACCAAGGCCAGUCACAGGUCGUCACAUGAAAAGUGAGAGAGAAGGCUAGGCCAAACUAGAGAAGGCUUUUUAGAAAGGGUCAGGGAAGUUUGUUUUCAUGUAUUGAGUGCAAUUCUAGCUAAAACACUAUUGGAUGUAGUUUCUGCAACUGAACAUUUUUUGUUUUGUAGAUGAAGAUGGAGAGAACCCAGAAGCCUAGGGCACAUGGCACAUAUCUUCAGAAAUCGGUCUCUCACACACACAAGCUAUGCACACUCACGGACACACACACACACACGGACACACACACACACACACACAUUCCUGUUGCUCAGAUUUCAUUCCUAUUACGCAAUGUUCAUUUCUGUUAUUAAAUAGUUUUUCUCUAAAAAAUAAAGUUAAACCACUGCUUUUCUCAAUUGUGGUAUGUCCAUCAUUUAUCCAAUAUCUUAAUUAAUUACAUGAUAUAUAAAAUGAUAAAGUUGAGGUUUGGCUCUCCUUUAAAAUGAAAAAGUGGCUUUGCAUUUUUUUUUAUUUUUUUUUAAAGAAUACACCUGUGCAUAUACAAACAAAUAUCAAUUAUUUAAACAUGCAACCAAACAUUAUAGAAAAUAUCUAUGAAGUGUAAUCAAUAGGUGUAACUAACUUUUGGAUAUGUUAAUGAAGUGUAUUCAAUAUGUAUAACCAACAUUUAGAAUUAUUACUUAAGCAUAAUCGAAUAAUCAAUAUUAGUUAAAAAGCAUAAUGUAUAUGUAUAACCAAUAGUUAGAAGCAUAAUCUAAAUCCAUAGAACAAUGUUUGAUGAAGUUAUAGUCUGAGUGUGGAUUGAGCUGGAUGAACUCUGUGUCUUACUGUACAAUGAUCGAUCUUGCUGUACCAGCCUGUAUCUUCCUCCACAGAAGCAGAUAACUUUGAGGCCCGAUACCAAUUAACGAGCUAGGAUAAGACUUUAAAAAAAAGUGAGUGUGGAUCAAGGUCAGGACACACAAGCCUGUGUGAAACCUUUUUUGAAUAAAAAAAAAAAAAACAAGAAGAAGAAGAAACCAUGACCUGGUGAACUCGUUUUGAGAAAAAACAACUAACUGCGCAUGCUCCAAAUAUAUCAGAUAACAUAUAGAUAUGAAUAUUUAAAAGCGACAAAGAACAUUGGUCUGUUUAUAAUGAAGAAAGGCAAAACCCCGCCUAAGAUGGAUACACUGUGGAGGAAGGUAUAUAAAGUGCUGUGUGUGUUUGCAUAAUUCAGACUUUCGGCAGACUGUCACACUUUAUCGGUUUUCAAUAAAGUUUAUUUACUUUUUAACAUCUACUAAACUCUCUGUCCCUGAAGUUUUUGACUUAGGCUAAAAAUCUUGAUUUAUUCACUACACCAUUUCUUUAAAAUAAACACUUUGGUGAGAGGAAAACAGGAAUUAGUUGACAUUGUUUUUCAACAUGCUUUUUUAAAAGACACGAGUUUUGCUAACAGGACUGAGAAAAAUGCAUCCAUCUCCCGCUUUGAAACCUUG
This is a long non-coding RNA of Ictalurus punctatus (channel catfish), 3504 nucleotides long. NCBI's taxonomy places the organism in Eukaryota, Metazoa, Chordata, Actinopteri, Siluriformes, Ictaluridae. The record is from Ensembl.